ACACCAUGAGAGUUGGGAAUACCCGAAGCCUGUGAGCUAACUAUUUAUAGAGGCAGCAGUCGAAGGUAGAAUCAAUGAUUGGGGUGAAGUCGUAACAAGGUAAC
This 104-nucleotide ribosomal RNA is filed under the name uncultured bacterium. Its description in RNAcentral is "partial 16S ribosomal RNA". It matches the Rfam family "Bacterial small subunit ribosomal RNA", at positions 1399 to 1500 of the family's 1533-position model. The record is from RNAcentral.